Zootoca vivipara (common lizard) is the source of this 1023-nucleotide non-coding RNA. NCBI's taxonomy places the organism in Eukaryota, Metazoa, Chordata, Lepidosauria, Squamata, Lacertidae. The record is from RefSeq and is a predicted model, not a curated record.
CUGUGAACAGGUGCAGCAAAAGGGAAAAAGCAAAUCGAAAUUUGUAGCCGAUUUCAGCAGUGCUAUGUGUAUUUGAUUAUUAGUCUCUAUUCAAAUGUGGUGGUGGUGUUGCAUUUUCCUUACCAAAUACUAACAGAGUGCUUUCUUUGCAGCACUCUGUAGAACUGUUGCACCAGAGUCUUCUGAUACGGUGACCUAGUAGAUCAUGCUUCAAUAUAAAGCUUGGGCUGUCACUCUAAUCCUUCUCCUUGCAAAUACCCUUACUGAAGUUGACACUAAAGCCAUCUCAAAGAGGCAUGUCCAAUAUGAUUUGAUGAUCAUACCUGACGCAAUUGCAUUUUAUGCGUUCGAUGCUGUGAACAAAGUAUCUCCUAAAACUGCUGAGUUCUUGUAUGGUGCUUUCCAGAAUCCAAUCAUCCUUGAGACGAGGAACUUCUUGAUAAAGACAACAACUGAAAUCAAUCGAGCAUUUCAACAACUGGUAGAAAAUAUACAUGGUUUAUGGACAAAGGAAGAAGCAGAACCAGCACAGCACUAGGACCUAAAUGAAUUUGUGGAGUGGCCUCUUCCUUGUAUUCAUCAGUGGAUCAUAUUGUGCAGAGGGUUAUUUUGGGUGAACAGUGCCAAGCGUCCAGUGUAAGAUUUUGGGCUGCUUUCCACUGAAUUGCAAUUAUUGUUUGUGCUGCCAAGAUCAUAUAUGACCAGUUCCUUUGACGAUAUAUUUACAUUGGUAUCAUCGAAAAAUAUUCAGUCACAUGACUUCCAGUGCCUCGCAAAGCAUCAGAAGUCACGUCCAAGGCUUUGUGGGGCCUUGUAGGUGGAGUCUAAGGUCUCACAGGGCCUUGGACAUGACUUCCGGGGUUCCCAGGCACCGCUGCGGAGCUCACAAGGUGAUGUCAUGGCUCAAUGUGAGGCCAGGAUGUCACAUUAUAUCGUAGACCACUGGGCACCCAUAAUCUGGGGCCUAAGUCGGCACCCCUGGAUCCAGCAGAAGUCAAGCAUGGCGCUCUCUCUCUCUCUCUC